AUAAUGUAAGUCUGACACUACUAAUAUGAAUCGGGAAUAAGGGUAUGCAAAUGGGAAUGAAUGAUACAAUUUGGCGAAACUACGAUGCAAUCCAGACCUUGAUUUCAGCUGUCAUCAUUGCUUUCUGUGAUUGGGAAAAGAGGUAUUAAAGCAACAAUUCACCGGCUAGUUCCUGGCAACAUUUUCCAUUCUUUGGGCCACUUAGUUGUUAGGAAACACAAGCAGGUCGGUAGUAUUUAUAUUUAUAAUAAUUGCUGAUUAUUGGUUUGGGCCUCUGUUUAACUUUUUGCAUGCAGUGAGAGCCGGCAUGCAUGUAAAGAAAUGGACUGAAAUCAGUGUAGAAACAUAAAUCUAUUCCUACAGCUUGGACAGAUCCAUAAUCUUUAAAAUUCUCCAUAGGCAUAAUGAAGUACCAACAUUUACAUCAGCAAUUUUUGGGCCUAAUUAAAUUUGUGAUAAGCUCUUUGGCUGAUUUUAAUCACACUAUCAUCAAUUCACCCAUUGUUUCCAUAGACAUGCAUAAUCUAAUUG
Molecule: long non-coding RNA, 531 nt
Filed under: Theobroma cacao (cacao)
Lineage: Eukaryota; Viridiplantae; Streptophyta; Magnoliopsida; Malvales; Malvaceae
Description: long non-coding RNA (TCAC_LNC000080)
Source: RNAcentral